AUGGAUUCCGACAAGGUGGGUGUGGGUGGUGUAGCACGCUCUAACACAACCUUGUUGGGUGCUUGGAGUAAACCCCAUAUUGGGGUCACGGAUCCUUUUAUCGGUGAGACGCUCGCGCUUCGAGAUGGAGUUAUUUUUGCAAAUCUACGGGGUUUGUCACAUGUGAUAAUGGAAACGGAUUGCCUGGAGAUUGUUAAUCUCUGGAACACUCACCACAACAGCCUCUCUGUGGUGGCACCUCUACUUGUAGAAAUUGGAGAGCUAGCUGCUACUUUUUCUUCUUUUGUUAUUCAACAUGUAAUGCGAGCAGCCAAUGUACCGGCCCACCUUUGUGCGAAACAUGCAUGUACACUGGUGGUCACCGAGAGUUGGACUGACUCGAGACCCUCUUUCCUGCUCACCAGCCUUUUGGCUGAUGAUGCCAGGAGCUCGUUCGUUGAAUAA
Molecule: ribosomal RNA, 444 nt
Filed under: Triticum aestivum (bread wheat)
Lineage: Eukaryota; Viridiplantae; Streptophyta; Magnoliopsida; Poales; Poaceae
Description: partial small subunit ribosomal RNA
Source: RNAcentral